UUUAUCAUUGGAUUUAGAUGCAGAUAUCACUGUCUUGGAAAAUUGGUCAGAGCAAUUUGGCAUUGAGUUUGAUUAGUAAACUUGACAGUAUUUACACUCUUAAUCUUCUUAGGAAUUAUAUGAUGUCCACACAAGGCGUACCACUGUUCUCCAUGCCCUUCCUGUCUAUCUACGUGAGGAAUCCUCUGGAUUUUUGAGGACAUGUGUGGGCAUGCUCAGUUGAAGUUUCCAUCUCUGCGCGUUCAAGAUGUAAGAAAAAUAACACGAAAGAAAUGCAACAAUGAAAACUUCAAAAAGGCAUCAACAACCAAGCAAGUGGAUCCAUAAAAUGGACUGAUUUUUUUAAAGGCAUUUUUAAAAAGUCUUUCAAAAUGGACAGAAUUAACGCGUCAUGUUCAGAACAGUUUGCGUUCUCAUCUUUGAUUAAUCCUGGUAAACAGGUCUGUUUUUGUUCUGUUCUAAUUCUCUCUGUUUAAUAAAUUUAAACAAAAUGA
Nothobranchius furzeri (turquoise killifish) is the source of this 494-nucleotide non-coding RNA. NCBI's taxonomy places the organism in Eukaryota, Metazoa, Chordata, Actinopteri, Cyprinodontiformes, Nothobranchiidae. The record is from RefSeq and is a predicted model, not a curated record.